Molecule: long non-coding RNA, 212 nt
Filed under: Panax ginseng (ginseng)
Lineage: Eukaryota; Viridiplantae; Streptophyta; Magnoliopsida; Apiales; Araliaceae
Description: long non-coding RNA (PGIN_LNC017110)
Source: RNAcentral
GCGCCGCUUUUACCACCCAAAAGAUACUUCUGAAGAGCUGCAGAAAGUUCCAUAGACAACUCCUCACCACCUCUGCCCUGCAUAAUUUAGACACAUUGGACAAGCUUAGCAAAAUAUAUUGAAAAACCCAGUGGCAAAAAACAAUUUCACACUGUAGAUAAUUAAAUAGUUAUCAUUAAGGGAAAAAAUCUAACAGUAAAGGAGGAAUGACG